RNAcentral lists this ribosomal RNA (317 nucleotides) under uncultured bacterium. Its description in RNAcentral is "bacterial SSU rRNA". It matches the Rfam family "Bacterial small subunit ribosomal RNA", at positions 28 to 334 of the family's 1533-position model. The record is from RNAcentral.
GAUGAACGCUAGCGACAGGCUUAACACAUGCAAGUCGAGGGGCAGCGGGGAUGUAGCAAUACAUCCGCCGGCGACCGGCGCACGGGUGAGUAACACGUAUGCAAUCUGCCCCCGGCAGGGGAAUAAGCCGGAGAAAUCCGGUCUAAUACCGCGUAACAUUCUCGGGAGACAUCUCCUGAGGAUCAAAGGAAGCAAUUCCGGCCGGGGAUGAGCAUGCGGCGCAUUAGCUGGUUGGCGGGGUAACGGCCCACCAAGGCGACGAUGCGUAGGGGUUCUGAGAGGAAGGUCCCCCACACUGGUACUGAGACACGGACCAG